Molecule: ribosomal RNA, 467 nt
Filed under: uncultured bacterium
Lineage: Bacteria
Description: partial 16S ribosomal RNA
Rfam family: Bacterial small subunit ribosomal RNA
Source: RNAcentral
GACGAACGCUGGCGGCGUGCUUAACACAUGCAAGUCGAACGGAAAGGCCUCGUUCGGGGGGUACUCGAGUGGCGAACGGGUGAGUAACACGUGAGUAACCUCCCCUUGACUUUGUGAUAACUUCAGGAAAAUCGGGGUAAUACCGGAUAGGAGCUCCUGCUGCAUGGUGGGGGUUGUGAAGUUUUUGCGGGUUGGGAUGGAAUCGCGGCUUAUCAGCUUGUUGGGGGGGGAUUGGCUUAUCAAAGCGUUGAGGGGUGUCCGGCCUGGGAGGGGGAACGGGCCAAUUGGGACUGAGAUACGGCCCAGACUCCCACGGGAGGCAGGAGUGGGGAAUAUUGCACAAGGGGUGGGAGGCUGAUGCAGCAACGCCGGGUGCGGGAUGACCGGCUUCGGGUUGUAAAACGCCUUCGCUCAUGACGGAGCUUUGUGUGACGGUAGUGGGUAAAGAAGCACCGGCUAACUACGUG